RNAcentral lists this long non-coding RNA (503 nucleotides) under Homo sapiens (human). RNAcentral describes it as "non-protein coding lnc-TSTD2-2:1". The record is from RNAcentral. Lineage: Eukaryota; Metazoa; Chordata; Mammalia; Primates; Hominidae.
UGCCCCUGCCUAGCGGAGGAGACUGGGACUCCCCACAUCUCUCUGUGUUCCCAGAUUGAGCCGGGCAAGAUCACAUCUGACAUCUGCACAUCUCAGCGCCCAGCCCCUGCCUGGCUCAGAGUGAAGUGUCUUCCAAUCCAUUGAAAUUUCUAGUCCCGGGGUCUCGAGGACACUAGGGCCACUGUGCAAUGGCAGAAGGAGCAUUGCCAUAGAAGUCAGGGGGCCUGGUUACAAGUCCUGACUUUAGUUGAGGACCUGCCAUAUGACCUUGAGCAAACUGCUGUACUUCUCUGGAUCUCAGUUUCUACAACCUAAUUCACUGGGCCCAGCCUGCAGCCUGCAAGCACCGGAUGAGUGGACGUGGCUGAGCAGCCAUGAGAAAGAUGUGGGGCUCUCCGGUGACUGUAGACCCAGCAUAAAUCAACAGUUCAAGGUGCUCAUCCCCAAAGCCAUGGUGAGACCUUAGCUGCUGUAAUAAAAGUGUAGUGCCAAAGUAAGGGCAA